GACGAACGCUGGCGGCGUGGAUUAGGCAUGCAAGUCGGACGGUAGGGCUUUAUCGUAAGAUAGAGUUUGAGAGUGGCGAACGGGUGAGUAACACGUAGGAAUCUACCCUUAAGACGGGGACAACCCAGGGAAACUUGGGCUAAUACCGGAUGAGAGUGCGAGAGAUUGCAUUUAAAAGGAUGGCGAAAGUUGUCGCUUAGGGAUGAGCCUGCGGUCUAUUAGUUAGUUGGUGAGGUAAGAGCUCACCAAGGCGAUGAUAGAUAGGCGGCCUUAACGGGUGGUCGCCCACACUGGGAUUGAGAUACGGCCCAGACUCCUACGGGAGGCAGCAGUCGAGAAUAGUCUACAAUGGUCGGAAGACUGAUAGUGCGACGCCGCGUGAACGAUGAAUCCCUUCGGGGUGUAAAGUUCUUUUAUAUGUGAGCAGUGCUUCUUAUAUUAACAGUAUGGGGAGAGAGAUAUUAGCAUAUGAAUAAGCAACGGCUAACUCCGUGCCAG
This 498-nucleotide ribosomal RNA is filed under the name uncultured bacterium. RNAcentral's name for it is "bacterial SSU rRNA". It matches the Rfam family "Bacterial small subunit ribosomal RNA", at positions 28 to 511 of the family's 1533-position model. The record is from RNAcentral.